UGGCAUUAGACUGGAAAUUCUCUGAAGUCUAAGUAUGAAGAUUAUAAUGAAAAUUGAUUCCUGCGCUCAGUAUAUUUUCUGGAUUUUUGUUUGUUUGUUUUUGAUGCUAUGUACUGUACUUGUCACUAAAUUCUGAUUUUUGUGAAUUUUAUACUAGCACAUUAUUGUGAAGGAAGCCAUUUCUAAACAGGGGAAGUUGCAGUACUGAUUUGGUGCAUCCACAGAAAUGUGUACAUCUAUUCCUGUGUUGCCAGUAAAGUGAGCAGUGGUUUUGUUUGCCGUUUGGGAAUUACUGCCAGAAACAUUUAAAUGAGAACUUUUGUUUCAUGUUCUCCUUACAGCACAUAGGUACACAGACCCUUCAUAGAUGCUUUGUAACAAGGUUGUGAGGUGUUUUCUGCGAGCUGCUCUUAGAAUUACUGCCAUUGAGUUAUCCUGUAUUUUAGAGGGAUCAGAACUGUGUCAGUGUGGAGGUCAGCUGGUUUUCUUGGUAGCAGAGACAUGCUAAAAAUGGACCACAAUACUAAAAAUGUAAACUGUAGGAAUAUGGAAAAUGUGUAGAAGACCUGACUUCAUGUAAUGCUAUAGGAGGAGGCUUUGGUUUGAAAAGUAGGUCUGUAGAAACAAACUGCUCUCAAGAGUACUGCAAAAGGUAUAAAUUGUAAUGUUCUGCAAGGAUAUAAAUCAACGUACUGUGAUCAUUUAAGAAAAAGGAUUCUGUGCUUCACUCAGAAGAGUAUUUUCUUUAGCACUCUGUGUGAUUCUUGGGUACUCUGUUUCUACUUUCCUUCUUGGGAUGACUUGUUGUUUAUUAUUCCCUUGAGGUAAAGGGCAGAGAGAUUAUUCUGAAAAAUAAUUGAAGUAUUCUUUAGUAUUAUUGGAGCUUUUUCUUUAAGAACACACAAGCAAGUAAACAAACAGAAAUACUCCCAGAUUACACAUGUUCAGAAUUUGAUUCUGAAGAAAAAAAAAAAAAAUAAAGUGUGAGUCAUAUUUGGUAUUUCAGAAAUACCUGAAACUUUUAACUUCUAAAUUAAUUCUUUUAACUUCUAAAUUAAUACAAGUUAUUUGGAUUUGCUGUGAUUAAAAUAGUCUUAAUCAGACAAGUUCCUAUGGCUUAACUGGCCCAGUCAUUUCAUUUCUCCUGAUACAUAAAAUACUGGAACUGUGGAAUGGAUCCAGAGGAGACCAUGAAGAUACUCAGAUGGCUGGAGCAGUUCUCCUGUCAAGAAGGGCUGAGAGCUGAGUUUCUUUGGCCUGGAGAAGAGAAUACACAAACAUUAAUUCUGCUUAGCGCAAGUGAGUGGGUUCCUUUCCUCAGCACCAGCACAGCAGGCUCAGCAGUUGUAAGCUCCUUUUGGGAAGCUGGGCAGAUAGGUGGCCGGUGGCUGUUUGUGCUACCUGGUGGAGGAAUGGGUUCCACCACCUUUGGGGCUUUCAUCUGCAGCCGAAGGUAGGCAGGGGCACGUCCCGUCGCAUCGCUGUGUGGAGUGCGCUGGUUCUACUCCCGCAGUGAUGUGGUGUAGGCCCGCCGACGCGUGCCUGGGUUCCCCUCCCCGCAUGCAGACGGACACGGGUGCUGGCAGAGGUGGGUGGUGCCAGCAGUCGCGGGACGGCACGGGAGCUGGUGCUGUGAAAACUGAAACCACAGCCUGCGGGGUGCUGGUGAUAGUACUAGCCUCGCCAGAGCGUUUUUGCUGGGAGCAGAAGGCCUGCCUGUAACAUGGAGUGGUUAAGUAUGCCAGGCAUGCAGAACUAGCAGAAAAAUCUGUUCCUGAUCUUGGACUUCCAGAAUGGCUUGUUCCAUGGAUGAGUCCCAGUGUUGUCACGGAUCAGCCAGUGCUGUCUCACAACAUUGCUGCUAUAAUUUUAAUCCUUAGGUGGACACUCCCAGUUUCAAAUCUAGGCGAAGCUGUGUUGCGUUAAAGUUGGUGGAUCUUGGAGGAUGGGAAAUGGGCGAGGAGAAGAGUCACAGUGAAACCUCUGUCUCCAGAAAGCAAAGGAACUUCCUUUGUGAGGGAGUUAGCCCUCUGUGUGUCAUUGUCUUCAUUUUUGCUCUUGUUUUCCUGAGCUAGAACAUGGACUCAUAGACAUUUGGGAUUUUGUUGAGAUUGUCUUCUGCAAAAAGAAGAAUCUAACAGGAAGGCAGGAAGGUUUGUGGCCUUGUGAACUCACUCCUCAGGAGCUCAGAAGCCAUAAUGACACUACAUGAAGUAAUCUAUCUUCCUGUCUUUAUGUCUUGAAGUGCUGAAAGUUGUAAUCCUUAGAGUAGAACCUCUCUGAAGCAUGACAGGACCUCACAGGGAAGGAUAUCUUAUAUUUUUUGACGCGAGGCUAAUGUGCUCAUUCACUCUAGAACAUGCAUGGGACUAUACUGAAGCAAGUUUUGCUGUUCCUAAGUUAAGAACGUAUCCUGAAAUUAAGAAAUGUAUUAAUCUGGUUUUUUUAAGUUGGAAUUGUGAAUUAAUUUUGAACUCCCUUCCUUCGUUCCUUCCUUCCAAGUUACGGAGUAUUAUUAUGAGUUGAUAUUUUAAAGACAAAAAUUUACUAAAUUUCCUUGUGUUAAUUUUUGUUUCUUCUGUCUUAUUUUCCCAUAGUUUUGAUAUCUAACACCUUUGUCAGAUCAACAAUGCAUGUAUCAGUUCACAGUGCUUUGUUAAUAAUACUUUUAUUCUGAGCCCAGUCUCUAAUGAACAGUAUUCCUCUAUAGUUCUUGUGACCACUGGCUGACCAUUAUGUGUAUUGCUUGGUUUGAUAUUGUAAGAAAAAUAAUCAAGCUCAAAACCUUGGAGAGCAUUAGUUUUAUGAUGAGGUCUUUUACAUUAUAUGGUUUAGCUUUUUAAGCCCCCCUACCUUAAAGACUGCUGGUUUGAUUUGGAAUUUACAGUUUCUAUUCCUGCCCUCCUGAGACGGGACUUUGCGUGCUAUCCCUUGGUUGUACUGCAGACCAAGUGGCAAAAAACCUAGCCGAACACAGCAGCUGCAUGCACGUGGUUGGCACCCUGUUCCUUGUUUUUCUGGUGUUUUCUUAUCAGCAUGCAGUAUGCUACUGCAGAUAGCUUCAGAACAUUCUAUUGUUUGAAAUCAUACACAGAAAUGGCAAUAGUUACAAUAAUUACAGCUAUUAGCUCUCCAGUGAACACCUCUAUAUAGAAAAAUAUGGAGGCGGGAAGAGAGUUUUUUAACUACCUAUGAAAAAAGAGAGCUACUCUGAUGAGUACAUACACUAAUGUAAUGCAGUAAUUUGUUGUGCUCGGUGGGAACCUGAGUAGAGUGGUGACAGUGUUGUUACCCUGCUUCUAAAACUUGAACAUGACUGAA
This is a non-coding RNA of Meleagris gallopavo (turkey), 3321 nucleotides long. The record is from RefSeq and is a predicted model, not a curated record. Lineage: Eukaryota; Metazoa; Chordata; Aves; Galliformes; Phasianidae.